RNAcentral lists this ribosomal RNA (634 nucleotides) under uncultured bacterium. Its description in RNAcentral is "bacterial SSU rRNA". It matches the Rfam family "Bacterial small subunit ribosomal RNA", at positions 69 to 676 of the family's 1533-position model. The record is from RNAcentral.
GAUCGGAGUGCUUGCACUCUGUGAAACAAGAUACAGGCUAGCGGCGGACGGGUGAGUAACACGUGGGUAACCUGCCCAAGAGAUCGGGAUAACACCUGGAAACAGAUGCUAAUACCGGAUAACAACAGAUGAUGCCUAUCAACUGUUUAAAAGAUGGUUCUGCUAUCACUCUUGGAUGGACCUGCGGUGCAUUAGCUAGUUGGUAGGGUAACGGCCUACCAAGGCGAUGAUGCAUAGCCGAGUUGAGAGACUGAUCGGCCACAUUGGGACUGAGACACGGCCCAAACUCCUACGGGAGGCAGCAGUAGGGAAUCUUCCACAAUGGACGCAAGUCUGAUGGAGCAACGCCGCGUGAGUGAAGAAGGGUUUCGGCUCGUAAAGCUCUGUUGUUGGUGAAGAAGGACAGGGGUAGUAACUGACCUUUGUUUGACGGUAAUCAAUUAGAAAGUCACGGCUAACUACGUGCCAGCAGCCGCGGUAAUACGUAGGUGGCAAGCGUUGUCCGGAUUUAUUGGGCGUAAAGCGAGUGCAGGCGGCUCGAUAAGUCUGAUGUGAAAGCCUUCGGCUCAACCGGAGAAUUGCAUCAGAAACUGUCGAGCUUGAGUACAGAAGAGGAGAGUGGAACUCCAUGUGU